GGGUUGUGAGGUUAAGCGACUAAGCGUACACGGUGGAUGCCCUGGCAGUCAGAGGCGAUGAAGGACGUGCUAAUCUGCGAAAAGCGUCGGUAAGGUGAUAUGAACCGUUAUAGCCGGCGAUGUCCGAAUGGGGAAACCCAGUGCAAUUCGUUGCACUAUCGUUAACUGAAUACAUAGGUUAACGAGGCGAACCGGGGGAACUGAAACAUCUAAGUACCCCGAGGAAAAGAAAUCAACCGAGAUUCCCCCAGUAGCGGCGAGCGAACGGGGAGCAGCCCAGAGUCUGAAUCAGCUUGUGUGUUAGUGGAACGGUCUGGAAAGUCCGACGGUACAGGGUGAUAGUCCCGUACACCAAAAUGCACAGGCUGUGAACUCGAAGAGUAGGGCGGGACACGUGGUAUCCUGUCUGAAUAUGGGGGGACCAUCCUCCAAGGCUAAAUACUCCUGACUGACCGAUAGUGAACCAGUACCGUGAGGGAAAGGCGAAAAGAACCCCGGCGAGGGGAGUGAAAAAGAACCUGAAACCGUGUACGUACAAGCAGUGGGAGCACCUUCGGGUGUGACUGCGUACCUUUUGUAUAAUGGGUCAGCGACUUAUAUUCUGUAGCAAGGUUAACCGUAUAGGGGAGCCGCAGGGAAACCGAGUCUUAACUGGGCGUUAAGUUGCAGGGUAUAGACCCGAAACCCGGUGAUCUAGCCAUGGGCAGGUUGAAGGUUGGGUAACACUAACUGGAGGACCGAACCGACUAAUGUUGAAAAAUUAGCGGAUGACUUGUGGCUGGGGGUGAAAGGCCAAUCAAACCGGGAGAUAGCUGGUUCUCCCCGAAAGCUAUUUAGGUAGCGCCUCGUGAACUCAUCUUCGGGGGUAGAGCACUGUUUCGGCUAGGGGGUCAUCCCGACUUACCAACCCGAUGCAAACUACGAAUACCGAAGAAUGUUAUCACGGGAGACACACGGCGGGUGCUAACGUCCGUCGUGAAGAGGGAAACAACCCAGACCGCCAGCUAAGGUCCCAAAGUCAUGGUUAAGUGGGAAACGAUGUGGGAAGGCACAGACAGCCAGGAUGUUGGCUUAGAAGCAGCCAUCAUUUAAAGAAAGCGUAAUAGCUCACUGGUCGAGUCGGCCUGCGCGGAAGAUGUAACGGGGCUAAACCAUGCACCGAAGCUGCGGCAGCGACACUAUGUGUUGUUGGGUAGGGGAGCGUUCUGUAAGCCUGCGAAGGUGACCUGUGAGGGUUGCUGGAGGUAUCAGAAGUGCGAAUGCUGACAUAAGUAACGAUAAAGCGGGUGAAAAGCCCGCUCGCCGGAAGACCAAGGGUUCCUGUCCAACGUUAAUCGGGGCAGGGUGAGUCGACCCCUAAGGCGAGGCCGAAAGGCGUAGUCGAUGGGAAACAGGUUAAUAUUCCUGUACUUGGUGUUACUGCGAAGGGGGGACGGAGAAGGCUAUGUUAGCCGGGCGACGGUUGUCCCGGUUUAAGCAUGUAGGCUGGUUGUCCAGGCAAAUCCGGAUAAUCAAGGCUGAGGUGUGAUGACGAGGCACUACGGUGCUGAAGUAACAAAUGCCCUGCUUCCAGGAAAAGCCUCUAAGCAUCAGGUAACAUUAAAUCGUACCCCAAACCGACACAGGUGGUCAGGUAGAGAAUACCAAGGCGCUUGAGAGAACUCGGGUGAAGGAACUAGGCAAAAUGGUGCCGUAACUUCGGGAGAAGGCACGCUGGUGUGUAGGUGAAGUCCCUGCGGAUGGAGCUGAGACCAGUCGAAGAUACCAGCUGGCUGCAACUGUUUAUUAAAAACACAGCACUGUGCAAACACGAAAGUGGACGUAUACGGUGUGACGCCUGCCCGGUGCCGGAAGGUUAAUUGAUGGGGUUAUCCGUAAGGAGAAGCUCUUGAUCGAAGCCCCGGUAAACGGCGGCCGUAACUAUAACGGUCCUAAGGUAGCGAAAUUCCUUGUCGGGUAAGUUCCGACCUGCACGAAUGGCGUAAUGAUGGCCAGGCUGUCUCCACCCGAGACUCAGUGAAAUUGAACUCGCUGUGAAGAUGCAGUGUACCCGCGGCAAGACGGAAAGACCCCGUGAACCUUUACUAUAGCUUGACACUGAACAUUGAGCCUUGAUGUGUAGGAUAGGUGGGAGGCUUUGAAGCGUGGACGCCAGUCUGCGUGGAGCCAACCUUGAAAUACCACCCUUUAAUGUUUGAUGUUCUAACGUUGGCCCCUUACCGGGGUUGCGGACAGUGUCUGGUGGGUAGUUUGACUGGGGCGGUCUCCUCCCAAAGCGUAACGGAGGAGCACGAAGGUUAGCUAAUCCUGGUCGGACAUCAGGAGGUUAGUGCAAUGGCAUAAGCUAGCUUGACUGCGAGCGUGACGGCGCGAGCAGGUGCGAAAGCAGGUCAUAGUGAUCCGGUGGUUCUGAAUGGAAGGGCCAUCGCUCAACGGAUAAAAGGUACUCCGGGGAUAACAGGCUGAUACCGCCCAAGAGUUCAUAUCGACGGCGGUGUUUGGCACCUCGAUGUCGGCUCAUCACAUCCUGGGGCUGAAGUAGGUCCCAAGGGUAUGGCUGUUCGCCAUUUAAAGUGGUACGCGAGCUGGGUUUAGAACGUCGUGAGACAGUUCGGUCCCUAUCUGCCGUGGGCGCUGGAGAAUUGAGGGGGGCUGCUCCUAGUACGAGAGGACCGGAGUGGACGCAUCACUGGUGUUCGGGUUGUCAUGCCAAUGGCACUGCCCGGUAGCUAAAUGCGGAAGAGAUAAGUGCUGAAAGCAUCUAAGCACGAAACUUGCCCCGAGAUGAGUUCUCCCUGAGACUUUAAGUCUCCUGAAGGAACGUUAAAGACGAUGACGUUGAUAGGCCGGGUGUGUAAGCGCAGCGAUGCGUUGAGCUAACCGGUACUAAUGAACCGUGAGGCUUAACCUUACAACGCCGAAG
Molecule: ribosomal RNA, 2923 nt
Filed under: Klebsiella pneumoniae
Lineage: Bacteria; Pseudomonadati; Pseudomonadota; Gammaproteobacteria; Enterobacterales; Enterobacteriaceae
Description: 23S ribosomal RNA
Rfam family: Bacterial large subunit ribosomal RNA
Source: RNAcentral